This is a long non-coding RNA of Nymphalis io (European peacock), 510 nucleotides long. RefSeq lists it as uncharacterized. NCBI's taxonomy places the organism in Eukaryota, Metazoa, Arthropoda, Insecta, Lepidoptera, Nymphalidae. The record is from RefSeq and is a predicted model, not a curated record. The transcript is spliced from 2 exons.
AUAAUAGUUACAGUUCUUGCAAAUCAGGAAGGCGAGUAGUUUUUAUUUGUGGUUAAACGUGUACAUGCAUAUUGCAAUAGUGUGCGUGUCUGACGACGCGGUCAGUUGCGAGCGCGCCAUCGCUCAGGUUAGUUGUGUUUAUUGUUCCCGGACGCUAAUUGCCGUGAAGUACUGUCAGCAUGUCAAAGCGCAAAGUUAUCCAUAGCGAGGGUCGAGCAAUCAUUGCUAAAGUCUUUCACUUUCUUAAAGAUGAAUAUAGUUUUAUGAAAGCAAAUAACAGUGAUGGAUGUGACCUAAGUCCAUUAGCAAACAUAUUAGAAAGAACUGCCCAAGCAACAGGCGUCAGUGAACGCACAGUAACUAGGAUUUUAAAAGAAGAGAAGGAGUUGCCAUCGUCAUCAACCAAGUUUACUUCACCCAUGAAAAAGCGACGUAAAAGAGACAGUAAAUCUAACCAUAUCACCCCGAGUUAAAUGCCAUUGAAAACAUCUGGGGUAUUUUGAAGAAUAA